UGGUGUUCUGCUUUGAAACAAACUGCUGUUGAGGUCUGUGUUUUUAGGUUUAACCCCACAGUUUCUGAAUGAACUGAUAGUUGUUUUUUUUCCUGAUCAAUGUGGACGUUAUAAUUGAUGGUAACAUUUACUGAUCAUAUAAUCAGCAUGACAAUAUAACAGUAUAACAUUCUGACCACCUGACUAAUACUGUGUUGGUCCCUUUAUGCUGCUAAAACUCCUCUGACCCAGUGGUUCAUCAGAACCUCUGGGGAUGUCCUGUGGAUUCUGUGGAUCCUGUGGGUUGCAGGGUGGGUCCUACCUAGACCAGGCUGAUCCUGGACCAUCCCACAGAUGCUCAAUCAGAUCUGGAUGUGGGGAGUGUGGAACCCAGAUGUUCAGAGGGAGAUGAUGCCACAUCUGGUCCAGCUGAUGGAAGGUCUUGAAGUUCUCUGACUGACCUCGACUGAAGAUGGUCGUCUCACUGGAUUUAAGGUUCAGAUGCUCAGUAACAAACUCCACCAAUGAGCCAACAGGGAAGCUUUAGGUUUAUUAAAUGUUGCUAUGAAGGUUUCGCUGUUUUUCUUUGUGAAUGCAAUGUGCUCCAACUGAAACUUGAAUUAGAACUUAGAAGUAAAUCCUUCCAUCUGAAAGGAUUUAGUUGCAUUAAUAACCUCAUAACAUUCUAAUUUUUAUUCCAGUCUUGGUUGGAAAUAGAAUCUCUGUAUUGAUUCAGGUAAAAACUGAACUUCACAGCAUGUUGGAGCAAAACAACCAGAUGAAAACUGUGAUGGUGUUGGAUUGUCAGACCGUAAUGUUGCAGCUCAAAGCAGCUUUUCUAGCUCAGUUCAUUCUGACAUUCAGCUAUGAAUCAACACAGCAGAUGGUGAUCCAUGCUGUGGAAGUCUCACAUCUCCUGAUUUAAUGGAGCUGCUUUGCACUUUUUACACUGUUUAUUCACCAACACUUUAUUUAAUAAAAGUCCCAUCUAGUUUUUAUGAGGAAUGUGAUGUUUUAAUUUCUCUGUGAAUAACUGCAGUCUAAUGCAACAGCUGGAGUUGUAACAUCUGUCCUGAUAUUGAUCAUGAAGUAUUGAUCAGAAUACUUAUGGUCAGCAGUCAUCCCUGAAGUUUUACAUUAAAAUCUUUACUUGUGUUGUGAACUUUGGUAAGAAGCAGAAACUUUUGCGUUGCCAUGGAUACAUGAGUGUUAAAUUCUGUCCAUGUUUCCAUUUUGGGAAAUUCAGUCCAGUUCCAGAAUGUGGAGGAAUUUAGUCUCAUCAUCACAGACAACAAAUAUUAUCUGAAAGUCGGGUUAUUGUUGUUUAUCAGCACAAUACAAAAAGAUUAAUGUUAGAAAUAUUCCAGUUAAGACUCUAGAAUAUCAUGAUUUAUGUAAAUUUACCUCAAUAAUAUGAAUGUUCAGGUUAAGAUUGUGCAGUGAUAUUUAUUAUGUAAGUUUAGCUGAUUAAAGUUUAUGACUCUGCACUAAAAUAUUAUUUAAAUUGACAUCAUUAUUAUAAUAUUUAGGGUCAGAGCCUACUGUAUUGAGAUUAAGAAAUCAAAUAUUCUGUAAAAUGUAAAUACACUGAACUCAUUUGGAUAUAUUUAAGUGAGACUCUACAAUAUUAUUUGACACAAAUCUAUCUAAAUCAAAAUUUUAAUAAUUUUCAUGCCAAACAUUUACUGGACUGAUUUAAACAUUAAAAUCACUCCUUUCUAAUCCUCUGCUGUACGUUCAAACCUGAGGCCUUAAAUAGAAACACACAAGUAUCUGUUUGAAGGAACUUCUGCAGAGUCCUGGUUCCAGAACAUGAUGAUAGAAUUAUAGACAAACUUUAACAAAAGCUGCCUGAGAGUUUACAGGUUUUUAUGUUGGAUUUCUUCAGUAAUUUAAUGAGUUAUCAGCAAAAAUCAAGUGUUCAUUUGAUGAACUUCAUUUCCUAAAACAUCCAGAAUUGGAGCUCAUAUCUUUGGCAGCUGUAAAGUUUCUGCUCCUUCAAAGUUCACAACACAAUGAAUGAAUUCCUAAAACACUCUCAAUGCUGGAGAGCGUUUGAUGCUGAAGCAGUGAUCAGUUUUUCUGUUUCUUCUCUGGAGAUGCACAAUGAGGGACGUCUGCAGAGACUGAGAAAGAGUCUCACCACAUCCUGACAUGAGGAAAAAGACUUUAUUGAAGACUACAAUGAGAAAAACUAUCAGACAGCAGACGGCUGCAUUCAAGGUGAGCUCUGAACAUUUGAUCUGGAACAGGAAUUCAAUAACGGCAGCAUGAGCUUCAUUUCAGUCUGUAGCUGCUGAAUUCAUGGAUGAAUCAUCUGGCACUAGAGAGGAAGACCAUCAAACAUCCACGUCAGCUGAUGGAGGUCCAAGAGUCUCACCCAACAAACAACCUACAGAGUGAAGACCUCGAAUCUGAUUGGACGGCCUCCUAUUCAGCCACAUUUUAGGCUGUUAGAUUGUUCCAGAUAAGACAAGUACAAGAUUCUUCAGAGCCGUUCUACCACGAGCCUGACAGGAAGAACUCCAACAGCUACUGAAUGUUCCUGUGGUUCCCUCAAGGCUACAGGAGGAGCCCUACGAGGACGAGCCGGUCCACCUGAUGGCGGCCAGUCGCUGCGGUUCAAAGCCAACACCGACUACGUGGACUUCUACUGGACCACAUGGAGGCCUUCAAACCGGACCAACAAGUUCACCGACUCCCCGACUCGUGGGUCUGAGGAUGCCGCCGAGCCUCGGUCCAGCCGGCCUCCUGUCUGUGGGUGUUUGAGUGCUGAGAGGUUUGUGGAUGCAUGUGAACAUGUCUGUGUUGAAACAGCAGCUUUGGACUCAGUAACGCCAGGAAAAACCAAGAGCUCCUUUAUUUGUGACUUCCACUAAAAAAACUGAUGAAAAUAAGUUUGCCAGGGUUCUGACUGAUAACAGAUUAUUAAAUAAUGAAAAUAAUUAUUUAAAUAUUCCUUUAAACAAUCCUUUUAGGUCUACAUUUCCUUUACACUGACUUCUUGGUACAUGUACAAGUAUUUUGGAUGGAAUAUACUCUUAAGCCUGAUGUUCAAGGGUUCUUCUGGGAAUAUACCAUUAAACCAACAUUUUAGGUAAAUGUUCCAGGAUGUUGAGUAAAAUAUACCAUCAGAUAAACCUUUUAGGUCUACAUUGGAAGAUUUUAGAGUAGAAUAUUACUCCAAACCAUCCUUUAGGUCUACAUUUAAGGUGGAAUACUCCUUUACACCAAGAUUUUUUGGUCUAGGAUUUUGGAUGGAAUAUUCGGUUAAACCAACCUUUUAGGUCAACAUUCAAAGAUUUAAGGUGGAAUAUUCCUUUAAACCAACCUAAAUUUCAUGUUUUGAUCAUUAUCAAGUGAGAAACCUCAAUCCAGACUCCUCAUAAUGACGUUUGAGAUUUAUGCUGCUGUUAUUUGUUUAGUCCAGACUAAAUGACAGAAAUCCACAACUGUAAUUUUAUUUCAGGACUCGGUUAUUAAAUGUCAAAACAAUCCAUGUGACUCUAAAAACUCAACAGCUGUACAAACUCUAAGAUUAAACUUUCCACAAGGAUCCAAAACAAGUUGGACUUCUACAUGAGAGCUUCAAUUAUUCUUCAUCUACUUCCUGAAAAGUUUGGUCAAUAAAAAAGACAAAAACUAAUAUUUUCAGUUGAACUAAAGACAGACUUUGUGAUUUUUCUGCUCACAUGUUGUGUUGUUGUAAACUUACUCUUUCAAAUAAAUAGCCUCCUAACCCCCUGGAAACCAGCGUUUGUCCUGUUUUUGUGUUGCUCCUCGGCGACCCUAGACAGCCGGGUCGUAAUGUUUUUUGAGCAACACACCAUACUAUGACGUUUUUACAAUGAUGGUUCUACUAUGGAACCAGUUUGACAUGUUCAGGUGUUCUUUGUGUGAA
Molecule: long non-coding RNA, 3880 nt
Organism: Amphiprion ocellaris (clown anemonefish)
Lineage: Eukaryota; Metazoa; Chordata; Actinopteri; Pomacentridae
Exons: 3
Source: RefSeq, a predicted model, not a curated record